ACUGCGAUCCUCAGCUCCGCCACCGCCCGCCCGCGCGCGCUCGACACCGCCCAGGCCCCACCCCCGACGCGGGCCCGCCCCCAAACCCGCCCUUUCCCCGCCCCCGACACGCAAAGGCCCUGCCUCAUACUCCUAAAACUCCGCCCAGAUCUCUGGGCAAGGCGUGGUCUAGGGUGACCCCCAUGAAAGGAUCAUUGAACCCCACAAUGGGAGCUGAAAUGACACACAGGUUGAAAACCAUAGUCCUAGAGUCAGGCACAGGAGGGACUCUGUAAAAAGGUGGGACCAGAUGUCCUGGAGCCAGCUGCCUUCUCCCUCCUGUUAUUUCAGCAUCUGCAUCUGCACAGGCUGCCAUCCCUCCCGCCACAAACUCUGAGUGUUAUUUCCUCCUUCUGGAAAGUUCCUUACCAUCAAGUUCAGACAUCAUUUUCCUAGGGAAA
RNAcentral lists this long non-coding RNA (440 nucleotides) under Mus musculus (house mouse). RNAcentral describes it as "predicted gene, 39558 (Gm39558)". The record is from RNAcentral. Lineage: Eukaryota; Metazoa; Chordata; Mammalia; Rodentia; Muridae.